Molecule: long non-coding RNA, 211 nt
Organism: Arabidopsis thaliana (thale cress)
Lineage: Eukaryota; Viridiplantae; Streptophyta; Magnoliopsida; Brassicales; Brassicaceae
Product: other RNA
Exons: 1
Source: RefSeq
GUCGGUCACAUUCGGGAUUAAACGUUAGUGACGAAACUAAAGCAAUGCAGAAGCACCAUAUCAUAGAAAAGAACUUAAUAGUGCAUUUGUUUCUUCGCCAUAGCGAGUUACGUUUAGUGUUUUAAGAACCACAAAAUGCUGAUUUUGCUUUGCUUGGGACGUUGCAGAAGGCUGGAUAGCUUGGUUCAUCAUGAUUGUUUGUGGCUAGCUA